Molecule: long non-coding RNA, 503 nt
Filed under: Brassica napus (rape)
Lineage: Eukaryota; Viridiplantae; Streptophyta; Magnoliopsida; Brassicales; Brassicaceae
Description: long non-coding RNA (BNAP_LNC020114)
Source: RNAcentral
CAGGAAACCAGACCGCCUGAAACCAACUAACUUGUGGCGACUGCAUUCUCGUCAACUGCCAUGUCUGGCACGUACUGAAUCUUGGCUUAAGUUAAAAGAGUCUCCCACUCCCUUCCAAAGCCUAACAUCAUCCUCUGAAGACAAACCUUGCAGCCUAAGUUUCAGAAUCUCCUUCUCUAUGUCAAUCAAACUUCUAACUCGAUGCCUGCGACUUCGAUAGAUUUGAACUGCAUACUCGACUGUUGCAGUUAUAGGAAUCCCAAGGUCGAUACUGCCUCUAGAACCAGUGAUAUCAAUGAUUCUUUCCCAGCUGCGACCAUUCAUCGAACCAAAAAGAAGCCCUUGCUCCACUGCGUAUUUCAAUCCGAACCAAAAAGAAGCCCUUUCAUCAACUUUUAACAAUGUAUUUGCUUUUAUAUAUUUGAGUAUUAAUAACAAUUUUAUAUAACCAUCUUGGUAUAUAUAGUCUAUAAAAAUAAUUAUUUUUAUUGAUAAACACUAAU